GCGGAUAUGGCGGAAUAGGCAGACGCGCUAGAUUCAGGUUCUAGUGUCAGCAAUGACGUGCAGGUUCAACUCCUGUUAUCCGCA
RNAcentral lists this transfer RNA (84 nucleotides) under Anaerotalea alkaliphila. It matches the Rfam family "tRNA". Rfam says of the family: Transfer RNA (tRNA) molecules are approximately 80 nucleotides in length. Their secondary structure includes four short double-helical elements and three loops (D, anti-codon, and T loops). Further hydrogen bonds mediate the characteristic L-shaped molecular structure. tRNAs have two regions of fundamental functional importance: the anti-codon, which is responsible for specific mRNA codon recognition, and the 3' end, to which the tRNAs corresponding amino acid is attached (by aminoacyl-tRNA synthetases). tRNAs cope with the degeneracy of the genetic code in two manners: having more than one tRNA (with a specific anti-codon) for a particular amino acid; and 'wobble' base-pairing, i.e. permitting non-standard base-pairing at the 3rd anti-codon position. Lineage: Bacteria; Bacillati; Bacillota; Clostridia; Eubacteriales. The record is from Rfam by way of RNAcentral.